This 454-nucleotide ribosomal RNA is filed under the name uncultured bacterium. Its description in RNAcentral is "bacterial SSU rRNA". It matches the Rfam family "Bacterial small subunit ribosomal RNA", at positions 923 to 1379 of the family's 1533-position model. The record is from RNAcentral.
GCACAAGCGGUGGAGCAUGUGGCUUAAUUCGAUGCGACGCGAAGAACCUUACCUGGGCUUGACAUGCAGGGUGAAGCCGGUGAAAGCCGGAGCUCUACGGAGCCUGCACAGGUGGUGCAUGGCUGUCGUCAGCUCGUGCCGUGAGGUGUUGCCUUAAGUGGCGCAACGAGCGCAACCCUUGUCCUCAGUUGUUAGCGGGUCAUGCCGGGAACUCUGAGGAGACUGCCGGUGCCAAACCGGAGGAAGGUGGGGAUGACGUCAAGUCAUCAUGCCCCUUAUGUCCAGGGCUGCACGCAUGCUACAAUGCGCGAUACAGAGGGCUGCGAUCCCGCAAGGGGGAGCGAAUCCCAAAAAGUCGCGCUCAGUUCGGAUCGGGGUCUGCAACCCGACCCCGUGAAGUCGGAGUCGCUAGUAAUCGCGGAUCAGCAAUGCCGCGGUGAAUACGUUCCCGGGC